Molecule: ribosomal RNA, 219 nt
Filed under: uncultured bacterium
Lineage: Bacteria
Description: partial 16S ribosomal RNA
Rfam family: Bacterial small subunit ribosomal RNA
Source: RNAcentral
UACGUAGGGGUGCAAGCGUUUAAUCGGAAUUACUGGGCGUAAAGCGUGCGCAGGCGGUUUUGUAAGUCUGUCGUGAAAUCCCCGGGCUCAACCUGGGAAUUGCGAUGGAGACUGCAAGGCUAGAAUCUGGCAGAGGGGGGUAGAAUUCCACGUGUAGCAGUGAAAUGCGUAGAGAGUGUGGAGGAACACCGAUGGCGAAGGCAGCCCCCUGGGUCAAGA